Long non-coding RNA from Capra hircus (goat), 945 nucleotides. RefSeq lists it as uncharacterized. The transcript has 10 exons. NCBI's taxonomy places the organism in Eukaryota, Metazoa, Chordata, Mammalia, Artiodactyla, Bovidae. The record is from RefSeq and is a predicted model, not a curated record.
GAGAGUGUGCGUCAUGACGUCAUGGCUCAGAGUACUUAUAUACAGGCGCCUGGCCGCCAUCUCGGUCUUUCGUGGCUGCGAGCUGGCUGUUCCUGUGAGUUGUUCUUUGCUGCUAAGAACCGCGGCAGGCAUGACUCCAAUGUGGAUUUUGAUGGCUUCUGUUGGGCAGUUGUGUACCAGAAGGAUGACAACUACUGCUGGGGUGUUAAAGCGCAAGCUUGGUGCUGUGUCUAUGAGCAGACAGCCAUUAAGCAGUCUUGACUGGAAGUUGAAGAGGUGAACUUGAAUCCUUGACCUGUCCAAAGCAGUUGGUCUGACUUUUUGAUGAUGGCUACAUGUUUUGUUACGUGGCUGACUUCUUUGGGGUAAGACACGAAAACAGUGACUGCUGGCAUUUGGGCUUAUAGUGUUUCUGAAAUGUGCUGGUCCAAGUAGUUGACCUUUGAUAGUGUUUUCUGAUGUUGGACAGAUCAAUCUUAUCUAAUUACUAAGCAAGGUACUGUUAGUGAUGAUUUUUAUAAUAAAACAGAUGGGAAUCUCUCUGAAAAAGCAUGAAGUUUUAAAAAACUGAAACAGUAUCUUGAAUCAGUAUCAAUAGUAUUUUGAAAUCUAUUACUACUUACUAAAAGUAACUUAAUUUCUGCAGGUGUGAAGAGAGGUAGUGACUACAAUGCAAGGAAUCAGGAGUUCUAACCAAAGGCAGAUGUUUUGUCCUGAAGAUUUCAAGGGCAUUUAUGAUACGAGUCAGACAUAACAGUCAGCCAGAUGGAUGCACAUGGGAUAGAAGAGCAAACAACUGUUAAUUGGCUGCUGCCCUGCAAAGCUGUUUGGAUCCUAGCUUCCUGACAAGGGAUCAAACCUGUGACUGCUACAGUGGAAGCUCAGCCCUAACCAUUGGACUACCAGGAAAUUCUCCAGCUUUCUAUUUUAAUAAAUGUUUAUAAA